UCGAGCGGACAGAUCGGGAGCUUGCUCCCUGAUGUUAGCGGCGGACGGGUGAGUAACACGUGGGUAACCUGCCUGUAAGACUGGGAUAACUCCGGGAAACCGGGGCUAAUACCGGAUGGUUGUUUGAACCGCAUGGUUCAGACAUAAAAGGUGGCUUCGGCUACCACUUACAGAUGGACCCGCGGCGCAUUAGCUAGUUGGUGAGGUAACGGCUCACCAAGGCGACGAUGCGUAGCCGACCUGAGAGGGUGAUCGGCCACACUGGGACUGAGACACGGCCCAGACUCCUACGGGAGGCAGCAGUAGGGAAUCUUCCGCAAUGGACGAAAGUCUGACGGAGCAACGCCGCGUGAGUGAUGAAGGUUUUCGGAUCGUAAAGCUCUGUUGUUAGGGAAGAACAAGUGCCGUUCAAAUAGGGCGGCACCUUGACGGUACCUAACCAGAAAGCCACGGCUAACUACGUGCCAGCAGCCGCGGUAAUACGUAGGUGGCAAGCGUUGUCCGGAAUUAUUGGGCGUAAAGGGCUCGCAGGCGGUUUCUUAAGUCUGAUGUGAAAGCCCCCGGCUCAACCGGGGAGGGUCAUUGGAAACUGGGGAACUUGAGUGCAGAAGAGGAGAGUGGAAUUCCACGUGUAGCGGUGAAAUGCGUAGAGAUGUGGAGGAACACCAGUGGCGAAGGCGACUCUCUGGUCUGUAACUGACGCUGAGGAGCGAAAGCGUGGGGAGCGAACAGGAUUAGAUACCCUGGUAGUCCACGCCGUAAACGAUGAGUGCUAAGUGUUUAGGGGGUUUCCGCCCCUUAGUGCUGCAGCUAACGCAUUAAGCACUCCGCCUGGGGAGUACGGUCGCAAGACUGAAACUCAAAGGAAUUGACGGGGGCCCGCACAAGCGGUGGAGCAUGUGGUUUAAUUCGAAGCAACGCGAAGAACCUUACCAGGUCUUGACAUCCUCUGACAAUCCUAGAGAAUAGGACGUCCCCCUUCGGGGGCAGAAUGACAAG
RNAcentral lists this ribosomal RNA (999 nucleotides) under Bacillus amyloliquefaciens. Its description in RNAcentral is "bacterial SSU rRNA". It matches the Rfam family "Bacterial small subunit ribosomal RNA", at positions 62 to 1038 of the family's 1533-position model. The record is from RNAcentral. Lineage: Bacteria; Bacillati; Bacillota; Bacilli; Caryophanales; Bacillaceae.